UUCCCAUUCCGAACAGAGAAGUUAAGCCUGUUAGCGCCGAUGGUACUACGUAAAAGUGGGAGAGUAGGUCGCCGCCGAUC
RNAcentral lists this ribosomal RNA (80 nucleotides) under Marinilabilia rubra. Lineage: Bacteria; Pseudomonadati; Bacteroidota; Bacteroidia; Marinilabiliales; Marinilabiliaceae. The record is from RNAcentral.